GGGGCGGAGCUUCGGGGUGGCCGCGCGGCCUGCUCCUCCCGCUCGGCCUCCGGGGCCGCAUGGCUUCGGCCUCCGUUCCGCUCGCGGGCCGCGGGGUCAGGGACCUGCUGCGCUUCCUGCGGUUGGUGGGCCAGCUCAAGAGAGUCCCACGGACUGGCUGGGUAUACAGAAAUGUCGAGAGGCCAGAGAGUGUGUCAGAUCACAUGUACAGGAUGGCAGUUAUGGCUCUGGUGACCAAAGAUGAGCAUCUCAACAAAGACCGAUGUGUGCGCCUAGCCCUGGUUCACGAUAUGGCAGAAUGCAUCGUGGGGGACAUAGCACCAGCAGAUAACAUCCCCAAAGAAGAAAAACAUAGGCGAGAAGAGGAAGCUAUGAAGCAGGUCACCCGGCUCCUCCCAGAGGACCUCAGAAAGGAGCUCUAUGAACUUUGGGAAGAGUACGAGACCCAGUCUAGUGCAGAAGCCAGAUUUGUGAAGCAGUUAGACCAGUGUGAGAUGAUUCUUCAGGCGUCUGAGUAUGAAGACCUUGAGAACAAACCUGGGAGACUGCAGGACUUCUAUGAUUCCACGGCAGCCCCACUACCUCGGCCCUAGACAAGACCUCAUUAUUUCUCCAUCAGACUGUUGUUACAACCUCCUAACUUAACCUGCCAGGCUGGCUAGUUCAUCCCGCACGUCUCAUUUUUUUCCUUCUUUGUAGAUCUAGGAAAAUUCAGUCACCCUGAGAUAGUCCAGCUUGUUUCUGAACUCGAGGCGGAAAGAAACGCUAACAUUGCUGCCACCACCAGUGAGCCGCACUCCUGAGAUAGUCUCUAAGUUGCUUCACUCCUGUAACAAACAUUUUACUUUUCUGUUUCAUGUCACUGUGUUUUGCCACCAUCAGGCUGUUGAUUUCCCCAGAUGUGAGUCUGUUUAUUGUCAGUUGUCUGGACUCCAGCAAAAAACCUGAUACCAUUUGGGUGGCGAAAGAAGCUACAGAACAGGAUGUGGUCACGACAAUGCUAUAGGUGAAGACUUGGGGUAACGGGCAUGCCUUUUUGUGAACUAAAUAAAUAAAUUUUAAAAACCUUA
Molecule: non-coding RNA, 1070 nt
Organism: Equus caballus (horse)
Lineage: Eukaryota; Metazoa; Chordata; Mammalia; Perissodactyla; Equidae
Source: RefSeq, a predicted model, not a curated record